Molecule: ribosomal RNA, 425 nt
Filed under: uncultured bacterium
Lineage: Bacteria
Description: partial 16S ribosomal RNA
Rfam family: Bacterial small subunit ribosomal RNA
Source: RNAcentral
GUGGGGAAUCUUGCGCAAUGGGCGAAAGCCUGACGCAGCCAUGCCGCGUGAAUGAUGAAGGUCUUAGGAUUGUAAAAUUCUUUCACCGGGGACGAUAAUGACGGUACCCGGAGAAGAAGCUCCGGCUAACUUCGUGCCAGCAGCCGCGGUAAUACGAAGGGGGCUAGCGUUGCUCGGAAUUACUGGGCGUAAAGGGCGCGUAGGCGGACAGCUUAGUCAGAGGUGAAAGCCCAGGGCUCAACCUUGGAAUUGCCUUUGAUACUGGCUGUCUUGAGUGUGGGAGAGGUGAGUGGAACUCCGAGUGUAGAGGUGAAAUUCGUAGAUAUUCGGAAGAACACCAGUGGCGAAGGCGACUCACUGGCCCAAUACUGACGCUGAGGCGCGAAAGCGUGGGGAGCAAACAGGAUUAGAAACCCUUGUAGUCC